GGGCUGUGACAUCUGUUACUUCACUGAUCAACAAGAUUGAGUUAGGAAAAUUUGCCUGAUUAAGGAGGUGUCCACUUUAUCAGUACCCAUGUACAUCCUUCCUAAAACUGUAUGCUUAGUUAAAGAGGAUGAAUUUCACAAUUAGAGGAGGAUUGGUCUUCAAUUAAGGGCAUAGAAGUAGUUGGGCUCCCUUGGAAAGAACAUCCAAAUGAGUUCUUAAGAAAUACUGACCUGCAAAUCUUAAAUAUCCCACAGAUGUUCACACUGCACAGGCAUGAUCCUGUGGGUAGAAUUGU
Molecule: unclassified non-coding RNA, 296 nt
Organism: Mesocricetus auratus (golden hamster)
Lineage: Eukaryota; Metazoa; Chordata; Mammalia; Rodentia; Cricetidae
Gene: 7SK
Rfam family: 7SK RNA
About the family: 7SK was discovered as an abundant small nuclear RNA in the mid-70s but a possible function has only recently been suggested. Two independent studies have found that 7SK RNA binds the CDK9/cyclin T complex (known as elongation factor P-TEFb).
Source: Ensembl